RNAcentral lists this ribosomal RNA (459 nucleotides) under uncultured Streptococcus sp. RNAcentral's name for it is "bacterial SSU rRNA". It matches the Rfam family "Bacterial small subunit ribosomal RNA", at positions 920 to 1382 of the family's 1533-position model. The record is from RNAcentral. Lineage: Bacteria; Bacillati; Bacillota; Bacilli; Lactobacillales; Streptococcaceae.
CCCGCACAAGCGGUGGAGCAUGUGGUUAAUUCGAAGCAACGCGAAGAACCUUACCAGGUCUUGACAUCCCGAUGCUAUUUCUAGAGAUAGAAGGUUACUUCGGUACAUCGGUGACAGGUGGUGCAUAGUUGUCGUCAGCUCGUGUCGUGAGAUGUUGGGUUAAGUCCCGCAACGAGCGCAACCCCUAUUGUUAGUUGCCAUCAUUCAGUUGGGCACUCUAGCGGGACUGCCGGUAAUAAACCGGAGGAAGUGGGGAUGACGUCAAAUCAUCAUGCCCCUUAUGACCUGGGCUACACACGUGCUACAAUGGUUGGUACAACGAGUUGCGAGUCGGUGACGGCGAGCUAAUCUCUUAAAGCCAAUCUCAGUUCGGAUUGUAGGCUGCAACUCGCCUACAUGAAGUCGGAAUCGCUAGUAAUCGCGGAUCAGCACGUCGCGGUGAAUACGUUCCCGGGCCUU